RNAcentral lists this ribosomal RNA (480 nucleotides) under Capnocytophaga sp. 'ARUP UnID 184'. RNAcentral describes it as "bacterial SSU rRNA". It matches the Rfam family "Bacterial small subunit ribosomal RNA", at positions 27 to 506 of the family's 1533-position model. Lineage: Bacteria; Pseudomonadati; Bacteroidota; Flavobacteriia; Flavobacteriales; Flavobacteriaceae. The record is from RNAcentral.
GGAUGAACGCUAGCGGCAGGCCUAACACAUGCAAGUCGAGGGGGAAGUUACUUUCGGGURACUGAGACCGGCGUACGGGUGCGUAACGCGUAUACAAUCUGCCUUUCACUGGGGGAUAGCCCGAAGAAAUUUGGAUUAAUACCCCAUAGUAUAGUAGUGUGGCAUCACACAACUAUUAAAGCUUAGGUGGUGAAAGAUGAGUAUGCGUUCUAUUAGCUAGUUGGAGAGGUAACGGCUCCCCAAGGCGAUGAUAGAUAGGGGUUCUGAGAGGGAUGUCCCCCACACUGGUACUGAGAUACGGACCAGACUCCUACGGGAGGCAGCAGUGAGGAAUAUUGGACAAUGGUCGGAAGACUGAUCCAGCCAUGCCGCGUGCAGGAUGAAGGUCUUAUGGAUUGUAAACUGCUUUUGUAAGGGAAGAAUAAGGGCUACGCGUAGUUUGAUGACGGUACCUUAUGAAUAAGCAUCGGCUAACUCCGU